RNAcentral lists this long non-coding RNA (880 nucleotides) under Mustela putorius furo (domestic ferret). RNAcentral describes it as "lncRNA (ENSMPUG00000027628.1)". Lineage: Eukaryota; Metazoa; Chordata; Mammalia; Carnivora; Mustelidae. The record is from RNAcentral.
UCUGUGGGCUUUGUGUACUCAUGUUCUCUCUCUUUUCCUUUGUAGGCAAUUUAUAGCAUUGAUCUACAGUGAUCUGUACUGAUCUAAAGCGCUGAUCUACACUGAUCUAGACUGAUCUCGCUGACUUCAAUGUGAAGGUACACAGUUGGAAGAGCUGUCCCGUGAGCAGCUGAGGCGAGGAGAAGCCAGAGGUAGAAUUGGGAAGGACUUGAAUGAGUGGGAAAAGAAACUGGUUAUUAUUGGAAGAAGGAAGAAAAUACAAGUUAGUUGGAUGCUUAUGGUGUGUCAGAUGCUACAACUGGAGUCCAGUAAGUCUCACAGGGGCGCCUGGCUGGCUCAGUCAGUAGAGCACGGGACUCUUGAUCGCUGGGUUGUGAGUUCAAGCCCCACAUUGCACGUGGAGUCUGCUUAAAAAAAAAAAAAAAGGCUCAUAAAGACUGUAUAGAUCUAAGGAGAGUAUUACUUUCAGAAUUGCAAUGGGCCUGUGGUCUACAGUAUCAGUGGUCUGUAAGACAGGGUGAUCAGGAGGGGAAGUGGUGACAUCUGAUACCUGUGUGCAGUUACCCAUGUGAUUAGGACCACCUGACAGGCGGCUGUAGACAGACACAGUCAUGGUGGACAACUUGGAUGGCCCUCAUAUGGGAUGAGUUAAAAUAUUGCCCUGUUUUCUGAAAAAUAAUGAAACUAUGGCUUGAUCCUUAAAAUGCUUUUAGAUGGAACAUAACUGGGCAUUACAUAGCACUGAAAUACAUAAUGAGCAAAAGUUCUCUUUAAUUUCCUCUCAGUCUCCUGAUUAGGUCAAGUAGGAAGUUUUAGUUCUGCAUUAGUAACAUUUGAACUGUUCUCAGAGCAGGCCACCCUCUCUCUCCCUAGACUUGAG